Molecule: ribosomal RNA, 927 nt
Filed under: Triticum aestivum (bread wheat)
Lineage: Eukaryota; Viridiplantae; Streptophyta; Magnoliopsida; Poales; Poaceae
Description: partial small subunit ribosomal RNA
Source: RNAcentral
AUGGGGCUUUUCAAAUUCUCAGUGGGUUUUUGUGACAAAUAUGAGCGUCUCAUCAGAGAGUUCUGGUGGGGGGAAGAUGAAGGACAAAGGAAAGUACACUGGAUGUCAUGGGAGCGUAUGAUUAAGCCCAAGAGAGCAGGAGGGAUUGGUUUUCGUGAUAUGCAGAUUUUCAACCAAGCCCUCCUCGCAAGACAAAGUUGGCGCCUGCUUCAGAACCCAAAUAGCCUUUGUGCUAGAGUCCUUAAGUCAAAAUAUUAUCCUAAAGGAGAUCUCCUUGAUACUGUUUUUGCUUCGGACGCAUCCCAAGCAUGGAAGGGCAUUGAACAUGGCCUUGAGCUUCUGAAAAAGGGGCUGAUAUGGAGAGUUGGAAACGGGAAGAAAAUUCAGAUCCAAAGAGACCAAUGGGUCCCAAGGAAAAGUGGGCUGAAAGUAACAGAGUUUAAGAGACGAUCAAGGUUAAGGUGGGUAAACCAGCUAAUGAAAUCAGAUAGCAAAGAAUGGGGCGAGACACUCAUCCACCAACUGUUCCAUACCUAUGAUGCUGAAGAAAUCUGUAAGAUUAAAAUUCCUAGAUAUGAAGCUGAGGAUUGUGUUGCAUGGCAUGAAGAAAGGUCUGGCUUGUUCACUGUCCGAAGCGCAUACAGGUUGGGUGCAAGUCUCAAACAACAUGGCGACGCGCUGGCGUCAAGCUCGUCUCAUGAUGCGGAGAAUAGAAGCAUAUGGGACCUCAUAUGGAAAACGAAAGUACCGGAAAAGCUCAGGAUUUUCGCGUGGCGAGUGGCAAUAAAACACUCCCCACCAAAGAGAAUAAGUGGAAAAGAACACUUGAGCUUGACAACAUCUGUAGUAUAUGUGGGAGGGAGCCGGAGGAUGAGUUCCAUGCAACAAUUAAUUGCACAAAGGCCCGUGCACUCCGAGAGAAAAUGA